AACUCCAUCCAUUACUCUUCAUAAUGUACUGUUUGUUCCAUCUUUCAAACACAAUUUAAUUUCUGUCCACAAGCUAGUGAAACAUUUACACUGUAUUGUUCUAUUUACUGCAACUUCUUGUUUCCUUCACAUGUUACAUGCCCCUUCUAUGAAGAUGCCUCUGGAUCUUGGUAAAGAGGAUGCUGGUCUAUACAAAUUUGCUUGGGUGCCUCCUUCAACUUCUUCUGUUAAUUGUUCUUCUUCCACUUCUGUAUGCUCUAAUAAAGAUUCUUGUACUCUUGAUUGCUCUUCUGAUCUAAAUCUUGUUGCUUUACAUUCCAAUGUAAACAGUUCCAUUUGUCAUUAUAAAAUUGAUAAUAAUGACAUGAACUACUGGCAUUUAAGACUGGCUCACAUUCCUUUUGCACACAUGAAACACAUUUCUGCUUUAUCUUUUCCUUUUGCUUCUAAACAGCCUUUUCCCUGUUCUGUUUGUCCCAUGGCUAGGCAAACUAGACUCUCUGAUCUAAAUCUUGUUGCUUUACCUUCCAAUGUAAACAGUUCCAUUUGUCAUAAUAAAAUUGAUGCUAAUGACAUGAACUACAUUUGGCAUUUAAGACUGGCUCACAUUCCUUUUGCACACAUGAAACACAUUUCUGCUUUAUCUUUUCCUUUUGCUUCAAAGUAAUGCUUUCAGCCUUCUUAAGUCCUUUCUGUGUAUGGUCAAAACCCAUUUUUAAUGCCACUAUACAAACAGUCAGAAGUGAUAAUGCCUUGGAAUUGGGGUCUAGUCUUGCUAGUGUUUCUUUCUUUAAUCAACAAGGCAUCAUUAAUCAAACUACCUGUCCUCAUACUCCUCAACAAAAUGGUGUUGUAAAAAGAAAGCAUAGAACCCUCCUUGAAGCUUGUAGAGCUUUACUUUUUCAAUCCAAAUUACCUCUUCAUUUUUGGGGGGACUGCCUAUUGACUACCACCUAUUUGCUUAAUAGGAUUCCCUCCAGACUUCUUCACAAUAGAUCUCCUUAUGAAAUAUUGCAUGGCCAAGCCCCUACUUAUUCUCAUUUAAGGGCUUUUGGCUGCUUCACAAUAAGUCUCCUUAUGAAAUAUUGCAUGGCCAAGCCCCUACUUAUUCUCAUUUAAGGGAUUUUGGUUGUCUUGCCUAUGCCAUUAUACCCAUUCCACAAAGAGAUAAACUUAUACCUAGAGCUCUAUCUUGUGUUUUUCUGGGAUAUCCCUUUGCCAAAAAGGGCUACAGGCUGUAUGACCUAACUACUAAGAAGUAUUUUGUGUCUAGAGAUGUUGUUUUUCAUGAGACCUGUUUUCCUUUUGAAUCUGCUUCUUCUGUUCCUCAGGCUGAUUCUGUUUUUCCUCCUCCUCCUGUUCCUUCCUCUGAUGUUCCCUGUUCUGAUUUUUUCCUGGCUACUUUCCCUGCUUCUUCCCCUUCUGCUUCCAGUCCUGCUUCUACAUCACUACCUUCCUCCCUUUCCUCUCCUUCUGUUCCUCUUCCUGUUGUUCCUCCUCCUCCUAUCACUCCUUCUUCUUCUGUUGUUCCUACUGGACACAGAAGAUCUGGCAGACCACAUAACCUCCCUCUUAUUUCAAUGAUUAUGUUUGUCACUUGCCUUCCUUUUCUGGUUCCUCCUCCUCCUCUUCUCCUUUGGAGUCUGAACCCCUCUUUUAUUCUCAAGCUGCUUCAGUCUCAGCUUGGCAGGAUGCCAUGAGCA
Molecule: long non-coding RNA, 1703 nt
Filed under: Nicotiana benthamiana
Lineage: Eukaryota; Viridiplantae; Streptophyta; Magnoliopsida; Solanales; Solanaceae
Description: long non-coding RNA (NBEN_LNC010599)
Source: RNAcentral